AGGCUUCCUAGGGCGCGGGAGAGCUGCUGGGGUGAGUGGGACCCGCUGUUCGCACGGCUGCUGUGGGAGCCUUCAGCCCGGCCCAGCUGGGGCUGCCUUGGCCCUGGCCCUGCUGGCUGCUUGCAGAGCAUGUCCCCCAGCUCCAGCUCCCAGAGUCCAGUGGCUUUGUGAGGAUUUCAGCCUUCAUUCUUCAACAAAAAGCUUCCACGCACCGUCAGUGCCUUGCUAGUGUGCCAUACGCCGUGAGAUAUCUCUUCUCUUUGUGUGUGACUGAGAGCGUUUCCCUUGUGUGUGAAGUUAUUCAACAAAAUCUUGAGCUUCAUAAUGGAUACCAUGAGUGAAAAGAAAAAGAGAAAAAUAGAAUCAGAGCACAGAGUUUUCAACACUGAAUGGAUGAAUAAAUACUUAUGUACUGAGAACGAUAUGGUUACUAAAGUAAGCUUUCAAAUUUCUAAGGAAAUUGCUGCUGCUGGGAAAUGCUUCACAGAAGGCGAGUUUUUAA
Emys orbicularis (European pond turtle) is the source of this 502-nucleotide long non-coding RNA. RefSeq lists it as uncharacterized. The record is from RefSeq and is a predicted model, not a curated record. The transcript is spliced from 3 exons. Lineage: Eukaryota; Metazoa; Chordata; Testudines; Emydidae.